RNAcentral lists this ribosomal RNA (20 nucleotides) under Eustigmatophyceae sp. RNAcentral describes it as "partial 26S ribosomal RNA". The record is from RNAcentral. Lineage: Eukaryota; Eustigmatophyceae.
GCAUAUAACUAAGCGGAGGA